Molecule: long non-coding RNA, 521 nt
Organism: Ictalurus punctatus (channel catfish)
Lineage: Eukaryota; Metazoa; Chordata; Actinopteri; Siluriformes; Ictaluridae
Source: Ensembl
GACGAACUCUUAAUUAGUUAGUCUAUCUUUUACUUUAAUCUUAAAACUCAUUUAAAGUUUGUAACUGGAGCUUAAAGACCACCUUCCGGGGUAAAUUUCCUUAGUUCAAGACAAUGCUGCUGUAUAUAAUAGCUAUAAAUCUUCUAUACACACAAAAAAAAGGCCUAAAGGGGUUAGUCUACUGGAGCCGUGUGACAUCUCAGUUUCAUCCCUUUCUCCCUUGUUUACUUCAUUCAUCAGUCAUCUUUUCUUCAGAUCUCUCUGUCUUCACUCUGGUGUCAUCUGUUCUCUUUUUUCCCUGCGACCAUAGAAACUCAGUCACUCACCCUCAUCGAGUCCGAACCAGAUAUCACACCAUCGAUACGCCUUUCCAGGACCACAGUCUCAUGUACCCUAUCUAUCGGGAAGACGCACUGAAGCUGUUACGCACAGCUAAGACGACCCGAAGCUACUCGGACAGGGCUUAUGGUAGUUCGGAGAGGAGGAUGAAGCGAGAUAGGCGAAUGUCGGUCUACAGCGAC